Molecule: ribosomal RNA, 562 nt
Filed under: uncultured bacterium
Lineage: Bacteria
Description: bacterial SSU rRNA
Rfam family: Bacterial small subunit ribosomal RNA
Source: RNAcentral
CCUACGGGAGGCAGCAGUGGGGAAUAUUGGACAAUGGGCGAAAGCCUGAUCCAGCAAUGCCGCGUGAGUGAUGAAGGCCUUCGGGUCGUAAAGCUCUUUUACCAGGGAUGAUAAUGACAGUACCUGGAGAAUAAGCUCCGGCUAACUCCGUGCCAGCAGCCGCGGUAAUACGGAGGGAGCUAGCGUUGUUCGGAAUUACUGGGCGUAAAGAGUACGUAGGCGGUUAUUCAAGUCAGAGGUGAAAGCCCGGGGCUCAACCCCGGGAACUGCCUUUGAAACUAGAUAACUAGAGUCUUGGAGAGGUUAGUGGAAUUCCGAGUGUAGAGGUGAAAUUCGUAGAUAUUCGGAAGAACACCAGUGGCGAAGGCGACUAACUGGACAAGUACUGACGCUGAGGUACGAAAGCGUGGGGAGCAAACAGGAUUAGAUACCCUGGUAGUCCACGCCGUAAACGAUGAUAACUAGUUGUUCGGUCACUUGGUGACUGAGUGACGCAGCUAACGCAUUAAGUUAUCCGCCUGGGGAGUACGGUCGCAAGAUUAAAACUCAAAGGAAUUGACGG